This 253-nucleotide ribosomal RNA is filed under the name uncultured bacterium. RNAcentral's name for it is "partial 16S ribosomal RNA". It matches the Rfam family "Bacterial small subunit ribosomal RNA", at positions 524 to 776 of the family's 1533-position model. The record is from RNAcentral.
UACGUAGGGGGCUAGCGUUAUCCGGAAUUACUGGGCGUAAAGGGCGCGUAGGCGGUUUGGCAAGUCAGAUGUGAAAGCCCCGGGCUUAACCCGGGAAUUGCAUCUGAAACUGCUUAACUUGAGUUCUGGAUGGGGUAGUGGAAUUCCCAGUGUAGCGGUGAAAUGCGUAGAUAUUGGGAGGAACACCAGCGGCGAAGGCGGCUACCUGGACAGUGACUGACGCUGAGGCGCGAAAGCUAGGGGAGCGAACGGG